UCACCUCCUACCAGGCCCCACCUCCAGCACUGGGGAUUACAAUUCAACAUGGGAUUUGGGCAGGAAAAAUAUCCAAACUGUAUCACUUUUCCUUUGGAAACUGGUCACAUUCUCAUGAUUUUUUAUAUGUCACAUAAUUUGGGAUUAUGAAUUGGGCUUUUUAAAAAAAUUUUGAGACCAGGUCUGGCUCCGUCUCAAAAAAAAGAGGGCAGACCAAGCAACAGAGACACAUACCAAAGACACACCCACGAUGGCUUCAUCCAUGGGAGACGAUUGAAAGGCUGGCGUCGCAGCCACGUGAGACAUUCCAAGGCAGGUCAGAUGAACAGCCCUAGAGCCUGUCUGGAGGAGAGCAGGCGUCUCCUGCGGGACAUCAUCCUCGAGAUAAGGAAGGGUCCUGUUCCUCUUGUAUAAAUGGAGGUUUUUCUCAUGAGUGUCCUUAAAUCUACCACUAAACUCAGGUUAAAUGCUCUUAGUCUGGAAUUAAUGUACAGAAACUGGGAUGGAUAUGUUUUCAUAUUAUUUAUGAAAAAAAUGUUUCUCAAGUAAAUGGAACAAGCAGGAAUACAGGUGGGAAUGCCACAGUACUAGACUACACUGUGCUUCAGAACAGUUUUUCUUUUUUUGAGACAGGGUCUUGCUCUGUCUCCCAGGCUGGAGUGCAGUGGC
This 669-nucleotide long non-coding RNA is filed under the name Homo sapiens (human). Its description in RNAcentral is "HSALNT0246135". Lineage: Eukaryota; Metazoa; Chordata; Mammalia; Primates; Hominidae. The record is from RNAcentral.